RNAcentral lists this ribosomal RNA (440 nucleotides) under uncultured bacterium. RNAcentral describes it as "partial 16S ribosomal RNA". It matches the Rfam family "Bacterial small subunit ribosomal RNA", at positions 338 to 795 of the family's 1533-position model. The record is from RNAcentral.
CCUACGGGUGGCUGCAGUGGGGAAUAUUGCACAAUGGGGGAAACCCUGAUGCAGCGACGCCGCGUGAGUGAAGAAGUUCCUCGGUACGUAAAGCUCUAUUAGCAGGGAAGAAAAUGCCGGUAACUGACUGAUCACCCUCGGCUAACUACGUGCCAGCCGCCGCGGUAAUACGAAGUGGGAAAGCCUUUGCCGGUUUUACUGGGGGGAAAGGGAGCGGAGACGGGAGAUCAAGCCUGGAGUGAAAUCCCUGGGCUUAACCCCGGAAGUGCAUUGGAAACUGGGCGGCGGGAGUGCAGGAGAGGAAAGCGGAAUUCCUAGUGUAGCGGUGAAAUGCGUAGAUAUUAGGAGGAACACCAGUGGCGAAGGCGGCUUGCUGGACUGUAACUGACGCUGAGGCUCGAAAGCGUGGGGAGCAAACAGGAUUAGAUACCCCGGUAGUC